GUAACAUAGUUUAGUUAGAGAUCAUCUGUUUCACAUGCAGAUGGCCCCAGGUUCAUUCCCUGGCAUCUCCA
Molecule: non-coding RNA, 71 nt
Organism: Podarcis lilfordi (Lilford's wall lizard)
Lineage: Eukaryota; Metazoa; Chordata; Lepidosauria; Squamata; Lacertidae
Source: the annotation of a GenBank genome assembly